RNAcentral lists this ribosomal RNA (478 nucleotides) under uncultured bacterium. Its description in RNAcentral is "partial 16S ribosomal RNA". It matches the Rfam family "Bacterial small subunit ribosomal RNA", at positions 28 to 523 of the family's 1533-position model. The record is from RNAcentral.
GACGAACGCUGGCGGCGUGCUUAACACAUGCAAGUCGAACGGUAAGGCCUUUCGGGGUACACGAGUGGCGAACGGGUGAGUAACACGUGGGUGAUCUGCCCUGCACUUCGGGAUAAGCCUGGGAAACUGGGUCUAAUACCGGAUAGGACCACUGCCUGCAUGGGUGGUGGUGGAAAGCUUUUGCGGUGUGGGAUGGGCCCGCGGCCUAUCAGCUUGUUGGUGGGGUGAUGGCCUACCAAGGCGACGACGGGUAGCCGGCCUGAGAGGGUGACCGGCCACACUGGGACUGAGAUACGGCCCAGACUCCUACGGGAGGCAGCAGUGGGGAAUAUUGCACAAUGGGCGCAAGCCUGAUGCAGCGACGCCGCGUGAGAGAUGACGGCCUUCGGGUUGUAAACCUCUUUCAGCACCGACGAAGCGCAAGUGACGGUAGGUGCAGAAGAAGGACCGGCCAACUACGUGCCAGCCGCCGCAGUAA